This 253-nucleotide ribosomal RNA is filed under the name uncultured bacterium. RNAcentral's name for it is "partial 16S ribosomal RNA". It matches the Rfam family "Bacterial small subunit ribosomal RNA", at positions 524 to 776 of the family's 1533-position model. The record is from RNAcentral.
UACAGAGGUCCCAAGCGUUGUUCGGAUUCACUGGGCGUAAAGGGUGCGUAGGUGGUUGGGUAAGUCUGGUGUGAAAUCUCCGAGCUUAACUCGGAAAUGGCAUUGGAUACUAUCCAGCUAGAGAGUUGGAGGGGGGACUGGAAUACUUGGUGUAGCAGUGAAAUGCGUAGAUAUCAAGUGGAACACCAGUGGCGAAGGCGAGUCCCUAGACAACUUCUGACACUGAGGCACGAAAGCUAGGGGAGCAAACAGG